RNAcentral lists this long non-coding RNA (831 nucleotides) under Daucus carota (carrot). RNAcentral's name for it is "long non-coding RNA (DCAR_LNC001534)". The record is from RNAcentral. Lineage: Eukaryota; Viridiplantae; Streptophyta; Magnoliopsida; Apiales; Apiaceae.
ACAGAUCAUAAACUCUGUUCUUUCCAUGUAGUAACUUAAUUAAUUAUAUACCUGACCACAAACAUAUAAUCACAGAUUAUAAAACUAGCUAUAAGCGGUGCCGGAGUACUAAAUUACAUUGUUGGAUGAUAUUAGAUGCACACCCAAGAACCUCAACACAGUCUGCAACAUAUAUGCAUGAUAUGGUCUCAGUAUAUAUUGUCAUAUAUAUAGCAUUAUUAUACUAUCAGCGAAUAUCAACAAUUAGAAAUAGCAUUGUCCAAAUCCCUUCAGCUAUUCUUAUAAUUAGAAACGAAAGAAACAAUACCUUAACUUUAAUUAAUACUAGCUGUUACAGAGUUAGAGCACAAACAAUUCGUCUUCCCAAUCGCUCUAUCUGGCCUAAUUAGGCGCCAGUAUGUUAAAUGACAUACCAAUGAAUCAAAAGUGACAUCCACAGCACAGAAAGAAAAAACAGACUGCUGAGACCAAAACAACAGAUUCAAAACCAGACGCGAUCUUGAACAAGAUACUAUCUACUAUCCGACUAUGAAAGCCUGAAGAAGAUGAUGAUGAUGACGACGACUUAGAAAACAACCCCCGUUUCUUCCACCACCCGAAUCGCCGCCACGAGCCACCAGCACUCUUCUUCCCGUUCCUCUUAAGAAAAUACAAAAAACAAAAACUGCCUUCUUUUCUACCACUAUUGCCACUACUGGUUUCCAUAAUGUACGUGCGUUUUGUUGUAGGUUUUGAGCGUUUGGUUGGAUGAGCGAAGAAAAGAAUGAAGUUGGGGAGGGACGUGUAUAAGUAAUGGGGUAUGUAACCGUAAAGAAGGUAAGUUGAUGGAGU